NACUAGAGGAGUGUGAUCGAAAGUGUCUGGUCUCGCAAGCCACGAGGAGGAGCGGCAGUGUUCUCUCCUGAGCGYGAAGCGGGCGGGCGGUGCUGCUGGUGGCAGCGGCCGUUGGCCAUUGAUGACCGUUCCUGCUGCUCUCGGGCAGCRGGAGGGAGAGAGCACGGGCUGAGUGGU
Molecule: small nucleolar RNA, 177 nt
Filed under: Dromaius novaehollandiae (emu)
Lineage: Eukaryota; Metazoa; Chordata; Aves; Casuariiformes; Dromaiidae
Description: Small nucleolar RNA U3 (ENSDNVG00000003726.1)
Rfam family: Small nucleolar RNA U3
About the family: Small nucleolar RNAs (snoRNAs) are involved in the processing and modification of rRNA in the nucleolus. There are two main classes of snoRNAs: the box C/D class, and the box H/ACA class.
Source: RNAcentral